RNAcentral lists this transfer RNA (71 nucleotides) under Melghirimyces thermohalophilus. It matches the Rfam family "tRNA". From Rfam's summary of the family: Transfer RNA (tRNA) molecules are approximately 80 nucleotides in length. Lineage: Bacteria; Bacillati; Bacillota; Bacilli; Caryophanales; Thermoactinomycetaceae. The record is from Rfam by way of RNAcentral. RNAcentral also lists the same sequence under 1 other name.
GUGGAUGUAGUUUAAUGGAAGAACACCGGUAAGCCCGGCCGGCGGCACAGGUUCGAUUCCUGUCGUCCGCG